GGGUUGUAAACUGCCUUUAUAUGUGACGAUUAUGACGGUAGCAUAUGAAUAAGGAUCGGCUAACUCCGUGCCAGCAGCCGCGGUCAUACGGAGGAUCCAAGCGUUAUCCGGAAUUACUGGGCGUAAAGAGUUGCGUAGGUGGCAUAGUAAGCAGAUAGUGAAAGCGUGGGGCUCAACCUCAUAUCCAUUAUUUGAACUGCUAAGCUAGAGGGCGAGAGAGGUUACUAGAAUUCCUUGUGUAGGAGUGAAAUCCGUAGAUAUAAGGAGGAAUACCGAUGGCGUAGGCAGGUAACUGGCUCGUCCCUGACACUAAGGCACGAAAGCGUGGGGAGCGACCGGGAUUAGAUACCCCGUUAGUCCACGCCGUAAACGAUGGAUGCUAGCUGUUAUGAGUAUCGACCCUCGUAGUAGCGAAGCUAACGCGUUAAGCAUCCCGCCUGUGGAGUACGAGCGCAAGCUUAAAACAUAAAGGAAUUGACGGGGACCCGCACAAGCGGUGGAGUGUGUUCUUUAAUUCGAUGGUAAGCGAAGAACCUUACCCAGGUUUGACAUCCUUGGAAUUUCUCCGAAAGGAGAGAGUGCUUUAUUGAGCCAAGUGACAGGUGUUGCAUGGCCGUCGUCAGCUCGUGUCGUGAGAUGUUUGGUUAAGUCCAUCAACGAGCGCAACCCUUGUGAUUAGUUGGAUUUUUCUAAUCAGACUGCCCUGGCAACAGGGAGGAAGGGGGGGAUGAUGUCAGGUCAGUAUUACCCUUACACCUGGGGCUAGAAACACACUACAAUGGCCGGUACAAAGGGCUGCCAAGCUGCAAAGCGGAGCAAAUCCCAUCAAAGCCGGUCUCAGUUCGGAUAGCAGGCUGAAACUCGCCUGC
RNAcentral lists this ribosomal RNA (869 nucleotides) under uncultured bacterium. RNAcentral's name for it is "bacterial SSU rRNA". It matches the Rfam family "Bacterial small subunit ribosomal RNA", at positions 420 to 1319 of the family's 1533-position model. The record is from RNAcentral.